Molecule: non-coding RNA, 119 nt
Organism: Pteropus alecto (black flying fox)
Lineage: Eukaryota; Metazoa; Chordata; Mammalia; Chiroptera; Pteropodidae
Source: Rfam
GUCUACGGCCAUGCCACCCUGAACAAGACCAAUCCUGUCUGACCUUGGAAGCUAAGCAGAGUUAGGCCUGAUUAGUACUUGGAUUGGAGACUACCUAGGAAGACCAGGUGCUAUAGGCG